ACACCCGGGGGGGAUACUCUGGGAGGGGAGGACACUCUUCCAUUCCCCUACAAACUAAUUGACACUUUCCUCGACCACUUAUCGGUUUCCGGGCCACGGAGGAGAGAGGACGCAGGAGUCGAAGAGAGGAAGUUAUUUUUCCCAAGUGUCUAUUAGCCAAUAUACAUGAAUUGAAUAAGAUAUUCAUACAUGGCAAAAUAGCUAAGCAAAAUGGAGAACACCAACGCAUUUGUGAGAGUCUCAGCUUUCCGUGUGGACCCUACAGGCCUUUUCAUGAGAAGAGCGAUUUUUGGAAUGUCUCCUGGUCUGACAAUCACCGCUGUAGUUCUGCCACCUUUCACCGCAGAUGCGGAAAGCCGACGUUGGCGGAUGCGGUGGA
Salvelinus fontinalis (brook trout) is the source of this 379-nucleotide long non-coding RNA. RefSeq lists it as uncharacterized. The transcript is spliced from 2 exons. The record is from RefSeq and is a predicted model, not a curated record. NCBI's taxonomy places the organism in Eukaryota, Metazoa, Chordata, Actinopteri, Salmoniformes, Salmonidae.